Non-coding RNA from Paramuricea clavata, 239 nucleotides. The record is from the annotation of a GenBank genome assembly. NCBI's taxonomy places the organism in Eukaryota, Metazoa, Cnidaria, Anthozoa, Malacalcyonacea, Plexauridae.
UUUUUUCGUGCGACCAUAGGCAGCCCAAAAAUUGUUGUAGAAUGUUCUAAAUGUCGAUCGGUGUUAAAACUCGCCCUAUUCCUCUUAACUUUGUCGCGCGCCGCAAGCGCCGCCAUAUUGAAAAGCAAUUGAUAAUAUAUAAUAACAUAAGGUUGGCAACUAUAUAUACUGGAUUACGAACAUACCACUCGAACAAAAAGCAAAACACUUUGUUGUAGAAGUAAAACACAAUAAAAAAU